RNAcentral lists this long non-coding RNA (1154 nucleotides) under Mytilus galloprovincialis (Mediterranean mussel). Lineage: Eukaryota; Metazoa; Mollusca; Bivalvia; Mytilida; Mytilidae. The record is from RNAcentral.
GAAAGAUAAAGUAUACCUACUGUGCUUUAUUGUAACUUAUUUUAAUUUCAUUUGUAUAUAUAUAUUUCUAUUUUAUUCAAUAUAACCAACAUGGCAGUUGUAAGUAAAUGUAACAGCCACCAUAUGUUGCAAACGGAAAAGUUGAAUAAAUCUAAUAUCUCUCGCUUACCACAGCGCUAUAAACAAAUCCUGGGGAGAACACUUGAGGGAUAUUGACCUAUUUAACAGUGGCCUGUUUUUCUGCUUUCAAAACAACACAACUAGGCACACAUUCAAAAUAACAGACAGUUUGAUUACAUUUACAUGAUAACAAGCAAUGUUGAGUUCUGAUAUGAAUUCAGUGUAAAUCUUCUUUAUAAUUGAAAAUGCUUUCUCACAGUCAGAAUUGCUAUUUGGCAGAACUAAAAUAGCUUUUUACAGAUGAUCCAAUAUGAUAAUGAGAGUUGCAUUAGGUGAACAAUGCAUUGUUCAGCCCUUAAUCACUUUCUUUGAUCCAUUUAAAACUUGGAUUCUCCAACUUUUUUGGUACAUGUAUGUACACACAUCUAGUUUUUGUUUAGUAUUUAGCUCUUACGACCACGGUACAGGUCCAGAAAGUUUCCUUCUUCUGCUGGUAAAGUAAAUUUAGAUGGAAGAAAAUCGCAAAAUCUUUAAAAUUUCUCACAAACUUAACUGAAGGGCUUUUGUUGUUCGUCCGUAUUAAAAAAACCCAACAAUGCUGCCCAUAGAAUACUUGAAAAUUUUCAAUAUUUAUGGUCUAAUUAUGAAAAAAAGAAGAAUUCCUAUAUCACUUACGACCAAUGUCUGUGUCUCAAUUCUAAAUCCCCUUGACCAGUCAAUUUUAAUAUUGUGUUCUUGUAACAUGAUUGAACAUUUUGCACUAAACAUUUUGUGAUAUUCAAAAAAUUUUGCUGGCCACACAUUAGCGGUCUCGAUGAUGUGAGAUAGGUAGCAAUCUAGUUCUUCUGCCCUAUUUGGAAAUACUUGACACAUUAUUUUUUAUAUCUUCCAAAAGCUAUAAUAAACUCGUCUAAUGUUAAAUUUCGUUUUAAACGGUCAUCAUUUUCUUUAAACUUUUGGUGAUUGGGCGUUUCAUAGUUUGGAAGAAGGAGAAUGUUUAAGUUGAUGUCUUUACCUGAGAUAAUUUUGGUGCG